GACGAACGCUGGCGGCGUGCCUAAUACAUGCAAGUAGGACGCACAGUCUAUACCGUAGCUUGCCACACCAUAGGCUGUGAGUUGCGAACGGGUGAGUAACGCGCAGGUAACCUGCCUAUUAGAGGGGGAUAACUAUUGGAAACGAUAGCUAAUACCGCAUAACAGUAUGUAACACAUGUUAGAUGCUUGAAAGAUGCAAUUGCAUCGCUAGAAGAUGGACCUGCGUUGUAUUAGCUAGUAGGUAGGGUAAUGGCCUACCUAGGCGACGAUACAUAGCCGACCUGGGAGGGGGGUCGGCCACACUGGGACUGGGACACGGGCCAGACUCCUACGGGAGGCAGCAGGAGGGGAUCUUCGGCAAUGGGGGGAACCCUGACCGGGCAACGCCGCGUGAGUGAAGAAGGUUUUCGGAUCGGAAAGAUCUGUUGUUAAGGAAGGACGAGUGUUAGAAUGGAAAAUUCAUACUGUGACGGUACUUAACCAGAAAGGGACGGCUAACUACGUG
This 505-nucleotide ribosomal RNA is filed under the name uncultured bacterium. RNAcentral describes it as "partial 16S ribosomal RNA". It matches the Rfam family "Bacterial small subunit ribosomal RNA", at positions 28 to 507 of the family's 1533-position model. The record is from RNAcentral.